RNAcentral lists this ribosomal RNA (642 nucleotides) under Erysiphe sedi. RNAcentral's name for it is "partial large subunit ribosomal RNA". It matches the Rfam family "Eukaryotic large subunit ribosomal RNA", at positions 24 to 672 of the family's 3401-position model. The record is from RNAcentral. Lineage: Eukaryota; Fungi; Ascomycota; Leotiomycetes; Helotiales; Erysiphaceae.
UACCCCGGCGGGAAUUAAGCAUAUCAAUAAGCGGAGGAAAAGAAACCCACCGGGAUUACCUCAGUAACGGCGAGUGAAGCGGUAACAGCUCAAAUUUGAAAUCUGGCUCCUUCGGAGUCCGAGUUGUAAUUUGUAGAAGAUGCUUUGGGUUGUGGGCUCGGCCUAAGUUCCUUGGAACAGGACGUCAUAGAGGGUGAGAAUCCCGUAUGUGGCCAUGGCCCGCGCCUAUGUAAAGCUCUUUCGACGAGUCGAGUUGUUUGGGAAUGCAGCUCAAAAUGGGUGGUAAAUUUCAUCUAAAGCUAAAUAUGGGCCAGAGACCGAUAGCGCACAAGUAGAGUGAUCGAAAGAUGAAAAGCACUUUGGAAAGAGAGUUAAACAGUACGUGAAAUUGUUGAAAGGGAAGCGCUUGCAACCAGACUUGGGCGCUGCCGAUCACCCCGAGUUCUCUCGGGUGCACUCGACAGCGCACAGGCCAGCAUCGGUUCGGGUGGCUGGAUAAAGGCCGUAGGAAUGUAGCUCUCUUCGGGGAGUGUUAUAGCCCACGGUGCCAUGCAGCCCAGCCGGACCGAGGACCGCGCCUUCGGGCUAGGAUGCUGGCGUAAUGGUUGUAAGCGACCCGUCUUGAAACACGGGACCCAAGGA